UGGUGGGUUGCCUUGUUCAGGUUGAUUCCGGUAACGAACGAGACCUCGGCCUGCUAAAUAGCCACGGGACCAUCUCGGUCCUGGCUGGCUUCUUAGAGGGACUAUUAGCGUUUAGCUAAUGGAAGUACGAGGCAAUAACA
This 140-nucleotide ribosomal RNA is filed under the name uncultured eukaryote. RNAcentral describes it as "partial 18S ribosomal RNA". It matches the Rfam family "Eukaryotic small subunit ribosomal RNA", at positions 1299 to 1458 of the family's 1831-position model. The record is from RNAcentral.